GAUGAAGAACGUAGCGAAAUGCGAUAAGUAAUGUGAAUUGCAGAAUUCAGUGAAUCAUCGAAUCUUUGAACGCACAUUGCGCCCGCUGGUAUUCCGGGGGGCAUGCCUGUCCGAGCGUCAUUGCUGCCCUCAAGCACGGCUUGUGUGUUGGGCCUCCGUCCUCCUCCCGGGGGACGGGCCCGAAAGGCAGCGGCGGCACCGCGUCCGGUCCUCGAGCGUAUGGGGCUUCGUCACCCGCUCUUGUAGGCCCGGCCGGCGCUUGCCGACACAUCAAUCUUUUUUCCAGGUUGACCUCGGAUCAGGUAGGGAUACCCGCUGAACUUAAGCAUAUCAAUAAGCGGAGGA
RNAcentral lists this unclassified non-coding RNA (345 nucleotides) under soil metagenome. Its description in RNAcentral is "partial contains 5.8S ribosomal RNA, internal transcribed spacer 2, and large subunit ribosomal RNA". The stretch from base 1 to 120 matches the Rfam family "5.8S ribosomal RNA", at positions 35 to 154 of the family's 154-position model. The record is from RNAcentral.